CCUACGUGAGGCUGCAGUGGGGAAUAUUGCGCAAUGGGCGAAAGCCUGACGCAGCGACGCCGCGUGAGGGAUGAAGGUCUUCGGAUCGUAAACCUCUGUCAGCAGGGAAGAACGGUCACUGUGCUAAUCAGCAGUGAAUUGACGGUACCUGCAAAGGAAGCAUCGGCUAACUCCGGGCCAGCAGCCGCGGUAAUCCGGAGGGUGCGAGAGUUAAUCGGAAUUACUGGGCGUAAAGCGAUCGUAGGCGGUAUGUCAAGUCAAGGGUGAAAUCCCCGCGCUCAACGUGGGAACUGCCUUUGAAACUGGCAACCUGGAGUGUGUGAGAGGAUAGUGGAAUUCCAGGUGUAGGAGUGAAAUCCGUAGAUAUCUGGAGGAACAUCAGUGGCGAAGGCGACUAUCUGGCACAUAACUGACGCUGAGGAGCGAAAGCGUGGGUAGCAAACAGGAUUAGAUACCCGAGUAGUC
Molecule: ribosomal RNA, 465 nt
Filed under: uncultured bacterium
Lineage: Bacteria
Description: partial 16S ribosomal RNA
Rfam family: Bacterial small subunit ribosomal RNA
Source: RNAcentral